AUCAAAAUUUAAGUUAAAAAUAUUUGGAAAAAAUGUGAAAAAUUCAAGUCUUUGUAAAAUUUUCAAUACGUUUCGCACAAAAUAUUGGAGUCAAAAUUCAUAUAAAAGUCAUACGUUAAGUGGAUUUUUAUGGAAGGAACGUAAGGGUUUCCAUUCUUAAAUUUGGCUGCUGUACUGAAGUACAAACAUUUUUCAUAUAAGUAAGGAUUACUUGAAAUAGCUUCAGUGAUGGAGAAAAUAGCGAAUAAAGAAAUAAUAACGCGUCAAACAAAGCAAAAAAAAUAAAAAUGAGAAAAUCAAUUAAAUUCUUAGAAAUAUAAUGAGCAGAGUCUGUGUCGAUGUCGAUUUUUUCGUAGAUAACCUCACUGCUGAUUUUGCAUGAUUGUUGGGAAUAUAAAUAAACUAUUUUAUUAAAAUUUUUUAUUUUAUAAGAUUAUAUAAAAUUAUAAUACAGAAAAGGAAAGAGGAAUAUAUAUAAAAUAUAUUCAAUGCGCAUGAAGAGGCGGGAUCACGUUGAUAAAAAUAUAUCUAAAAGUAAACUUGUAAACCUCACCAAUUCAACAUUAUUUUUUAAAGAAAAUUGGAUAAUCACUAAUUUGAGAAACUAAAAUCGAAAAUCGAAAAUCGAAAAUCGAAAUAUAUUGCAAAUAUACACUGAGAGAUAUUAUUGUGUUUAUUAAACUUUAUUUAACUCUACUCUAUUGGAUAAAUGGAUGGUGUCCCUCCACCCCUCUACCCCUGCACCCCUCCACCCCACCACUGCAUUUCGGGAUACAUAUAUAAAAGAAACUUAAUACAAUAAUAUGGAUGCAGCUGUAUUUUUUACUAUACGGCAAAGUAAGUUCUGCAAAAAUUAAUUGGAUGCUACAAAUACUGAAAAGACAACGGUCCGUCAAAUUUCUAUACUUAACAUAUAAAUUAUUGGUAUGAUGUGUUUCAAGAGAAUUUGGAAUUUACACUGAGUGUUGUGUGAGAUUUAUGUUAAAUGAAAAAUGUAAAAUGUUAAUGUUAAAUGUAAAUGUUAAAUAAGAUUCACAAGUAAAUCUUAAUGAACGAAACGGGAGCAUUGAAUCCUGAAACCCCAAGAAAUCAGAAAUCGUACAAUCCUGUAAUAAUGGACUAAUAUUACUAACUAGUACAACUGCAAAUUAUAAUAUAAAAUAAAAUAUACCUUAUAUAAUAAAUACUUUCGCAAUUCACAACGGAAAGGAUUUAUAUAAUACCAUUUCAUUUUGAAUUUGAAAUAUUCAAACAUCAUCAGUUUGAGUACUGUUUCAAUUAAUAAGUUUAUAUAAUAUUUGUUAGAAUUAAUUGUUGCUUUUGAACUUUUAACCAUAACCAUUAUGGUAAUUCAAUCAACCAUCAUGUAUCAAUUUUGGGUGUGUGAGCCAUAAAAUAGUACUUCCUGUGAGUGUGGAAACGAUAAUAUGUGGAUGUGUAUCUGAUAUAAAUGGUGUUGUCCUUGUUCAAUAAGAAGCCUGAUAAUUAUACAUACAAAUUACAUGAAUGAAGAUUAGCAGAUCUAUUUGGACAUUUGGACAGCUUAAAGAUGACGAUGCGAAAUGACAAAUAUCUGACCAAAUCUAAAUGAAUGUUUUGGAACAAAUGUGACUAGUGAUUACAACUGGUAUAAAACUGUGCUUGUAUGAUGCGGCAUCGAUUUUUUGACUAGGUGGACAAGUAUUAUACACCUGGAAUUUCGCAGACAUUCCUAUAUUUUUGCAAAUAUAGUGUACAUCAUUCGUGAAAAUUGAAGGAUUAAACAAAUCUAAUUAAGUAUACAUUUUUAUACAGAGGUGUUAAACCAAUUCAAGACCUUGGAGUAUGUUUAAAUUCGGUGGAAUCGAAAGUGUAAACAUACAUAUUCCUAAACAUGUCGAAAAACGUGUGUAGCCAUAAACUGAUGCCAUAGUCAUAGCUGAUGGCAUCAAUGUAAAAAUAUUAACAGAAUGCAAAAAAUACACAUUAUGCUUGAAAACUAAA
Long non-coding RNA from Teleopsis dalmanni, 1983 nucleotides. RefSeq lists it as uncharacterized. The transcript has 8 exons. Lineage: Eukaryota; Metazoa; Arthropoda; Insecta; Diptera; Diopsidae. The record is from RefSeq and is a predicted model, not a curated record.